This 2920-nucleotide ribosomal RNA is filed under the name Staphylococcus aureus. Its description in RNAcentral is "bacterial LSU rRNA". It matches the Rfam family "Bacterial large subunit ribosomal RNA". Lineage: Bacteria; Bacillati; Bacillota; Bacilli; Caryophanales; Staphylococcaceae. The record is from RNAcentral.
UUAAGUUAUUAAGGGCGCACGGUGGAUGCCUUGGCACUAGAAGCCGAUGAAGGACGUUACUAACGACGAUAUGCUUUGGGGAGCUGUAAGUAAGCUUUGAUCCAGAGAUUUCCGAAUGGGGAAACCCAGCAUGAGUUAUGUCAUGUUAUCGAUAUGUGAAUACAUAGCAUAUCAGAAGGCACACCCGGAGAACUGAAACAUCUUAGUACCCGGAGGAAGAGAAAGAAAAUUCGAUUCCCUUAGUAGCGGCGAGCGAAACGGGAAGAGCCCAAACCAACAAGCUUGCUUGUUGGGGUUGUAGGACACUCUAUACGGAGUUACAAAGGACGACAUUAGACGAAUCAUCUGGAAAGAUGAAUCAAAGAAGGUAAUAAUCCUGUAGUCGAAAAUGUUGUCUCUCUUGAGUGGAUCCUGAGUACGACGGAGCACGUGAAAUUCCGUUGGAAUCUGGGAGGACCAUCUCCUAAGGCUAAAUACUCUCUAGUGACCGAUAGUGAACCAGUACCGUGAGGGAAAGGUGAAAAGCACCCCGGAAGGGGAGUGAAAUAGAACCUGAAACCGUGUGCUUACAAGUAGUCAGAGCCCGUUAAUGGGUGAUGGCGUGCCUUUUGUAGAAUGAACCGGCGAGUUACGAUUUGAUGCAAGGUUAAGCAGUAAAUGUGGAGCCGUAGCGAAAGCGAGUCUGAAUAGGGCGUUUAGUAUUUGGUCGUAGACCCGAAACCAGGUGAUCUACCCUUGGUCAGGUUGAAGUUCAGGUAACACUGAAUGGAGGACCGAACCGACUUACGUUGAAAAGUGAGCGGAUGAACUGAGGGUAGCGGAGAAAUUCCAAUCGAACCUGGAGAUAGCUGGUUCUCUCCGAAAUAGCUUUAGGGCUAGCCUCAAGUGAUGAUUAUUGGAGGUAGAGCACUGUUUGGACGAGGGGCCCCUCUCGGGUUACCGAAUUCAGACAAACUCCGAAUGCCAAUUAAUUUAACUUGGGAGUCAGAACAUGGGUGAUAAGGUCCGUGUUCGAAAGGGAAACAGCCCAGACCACCAGCUAAGGUCCCAAAAUAUAUGUUAAGUGGAAAAGGAUGUGGCGUUGCCCAGACAACUAGGAUGUUGGCUUAGAAGCAGCCAUCAUUUAAAGAGUGCGUAAUAGCUCACUAGUCGAGUGACACUGCGCCGAAAAUGUACCGGGGCUAAACAUAUUACCGAAGCUGUGGAUUGUCCUUUGGACAAUGGUAGGAGAGCGUUCUAAGGGCGUUGAAGCAUGAUCGUAAGGACAUGUGGAGCGCUUAGAAGUGAGAAUGCCGGUGUGAGUAGCGAAAGACGGGUGAGAAUCCCGUCCACCGAUUGACUAAGGUUUCCAGAGGAAGGCUCGUCCGCUCUGGGUUAGUCGGGUCCUAAGCUGAGGCCGACAGGCGUAGGCGAUGGAUAACAGGUUGAUAUUCCUGUACCACCUAUAAUCGUUUUAAUCGAUGGGGGACGCAGUAGGAUAGGCGAAGCGUGCGAUUGGAUUGCACGUCUAAGCAGUAAGGCUGAGUAUUAGGCAAAUCCGGUACUCAUUAAGGCUGAGCUGUGAUGGGGAGAAGACAUUGUGUCUUCGAGUCGUUGAUUUCACACUGCCGAGAAAAGCCUCUAGAUAGAAAAUAGGUGCCCGUACCGCAAACCGACACAGGUAGUCAAGAUGAGAAUUCUAAGGUGAGCGAGCGAACUCUCGUUAAGGAACUCGGCAAAAUGACCCCGUAACUUCGGGAGAAGGGGUGCUCUUUAGGGUUAACGCCCAGAAGAGCCGCAGUGAAUAGGCCCAAGCGACUGUUUAUCAAAAACACAGGUCUCUGCUAAACCGUAAGGUGAUGUAUAGGGGCUGACGCCUGCCCGGUGCUGGAAGGUUAAGAGGAGUGGUUAGCUUCUGCGAAGCUACGAAUCGAAGCCCCAGUAAACGGCGGCCGUAACUAUAACGGUCCUAAGGUAGCGAAAUUCCUUGUCGGGUAAGUUCCGACCCGCACGAAAGGCGUAACGAUUUGGGCACUGUCUCAACGAGAGACUCGGUGAAAUCAUAGUACCUGUGAAGAUGCAGGUUACCCGCGACAGGACGGAAAGACCCCGUGGAGCUUUACUGUAGCCUGAUAUUGAAAUUCGGCACAGCUUGUACAGGAUAGGUAGGAGCCUUUGAAACGUGAGCGCUAGCUUACGUGGAGGCGCUGGUGGGAUACUACCCUAGCUGUGUUGGCUUUCUAACCCGCACCACUUAUCGUGGUGGGAGACAGUGUCAGGCGGGCAGUUUGACUGGGGCGGUCGCCUCCUAAAAGGUAACGGAGGCGCUCAAAGGUUCCCUCAGAAUGGUUGGAAAUCAUUCAUAGAGUGUAAAGGCAUAAGGGAGCUUGACUGCGAGACCUACAAGUCGAGCAGGGUCGAAAGACGGACUUAGUGAUCCGGUGGUUCCGUAUGGAAGGGCCAUCGCUCAACGGAUAAAAGCUACCCCGGGGAUAACAGGCUUAUCUCCCCCAAGAGUUCACAUCGACGGGGAGGUUUGGCACCUCGAUGUCGGCUCAUCGCAUCCUGGGGCUGUAGUCGGUCCCAAGGGUUGGGCUGUUCGCCCAUUAAAGCGGUACGCGAGCUGGGUUCAGAACGUCGUGAGACAGUUCGGUCCCUAUCCGUCGUGGGCGUAGGAAAUUUGAGAGGAGCUGUCCUUAGUACGAGAGGACCGGGAUGGACAUACCUCUGGUGUACCAGUUGUCGUGCCAACGGCAUAGCUGGGUAGCUAUGUGUGGACGGGAUAAGUGCUGAAAGCAUCUAAGCAUGAAGCCCCCCUCAAGAUGAGAUUUCCCAACUUCGGUUAUAAGAUCCCUCAAAGAUGAUGAGGUUAAUAGGUUCGAGGUGGAAGCAUGGUGACAUGUGGAGCUGACGAAUACUAAUCGAUCGAAGACUUAAUCAA